AUACGAAGGGGGCUAGCGUUGUUCGGAUUUACUGGGCGUAAAGCGCACGUAGGCGGAUUGAUUAGUUAGGGGUGAAAUCCCGAGGCUCAACCUCGGAACUGCCUUUAAUACUGUCAAUCUCGAGACUGGAAGAGGUGAGUGGAACUCCUAGUGUAGCGGUGGAAUUCGUAGAUAUUAGGAAGAACACCAGUGGCGAAGGCGGCUCACUGGUCCGGUACUGACGCUGAGGUGCGAAAGCGUGGGGAGCGAACAGGAUUAGAAACCCCAGUAGUCC
This 274-nucleotide ribosomal RNA is filed under the name uncultured bacterium. Its description in RNAcentral is "partial 16S ribosomal RNA". It matches the Rfam family "Bacterial small subunit ribosomal RNA", at positions 523 to 796 of the family's 1533-position model. The record is from RNAcentral.